RNAcentral lists this small RNA (536 nucleotides) under Pongo abelii (Sumatran orangutan). RNAcentral describes it as "retained intron". Lineage: Eukaryota; Metazoa; Chordata; Mammalia; Primates; Hominidae. The record is from RNAcentral.
AGUUCCAUGCAGACCUCGAGAUCCCCCACCCCUCACCCCAGUCCGCCUAAGUCCUUCCCUCUCCCAUGUCUCCCCAGGGCAAGGGCGCCGAGGACACUUUCUGGCUAGUGGGCAGACGCGGCUUCAACAAGCCCAUCCCCAAACCGCCUGACCUGCAACCGGGGUCCAGCAACCACGGCAUCAGCCUGCAGGAGAUCCCACCCGAGCGGCGACGGAAGCUGGAGAAGGCGCGACCGGGCCAGUUCUCUUGAGAAGUGAGGCCCGGCCCCGGACAGGUGCUGCCCCCUCAGCCCCCACCCCAGCUGCCGCGUCCCCUCUGCUGCCUGCAGAACGUCCUACCCAAGCCAGGUGUCCCGAUCCCUUUCUGACUUAGAGAGCCCAGGCUGGUUCCUAACCCCCGGGGCUUCCCCUGGGAGGGAAGCACCCGCUGCAGGAAUUUUGGCUCAGUAGAUCUGGAGUGGUUUGGGAAUCCAGGCUUAGGAAACUCCGCAAUCAAAGAAGGCCCCCUCCUCUGGCCCUAUCUCAUCCCCAGCGCA